Molecule: ribosomal RNA, 1068 nt
Filed under: Plasmodium ovale (malaria parasite P. ovale)
Lineage: Eukaryota; Apicomplexa; Aconoidasida; Haemosporida; Plasmodiidae
Description: SSU rRNA
Rfam family: Eukaryotic small subunit ribosomal RNA
Source: RNAcentral
UUAAAAUUGUUGCAGUUAAAACGCUCGUAGUUGAAUUUCAAAGAAUCAAUAUUUUAAGUAAUACUUUUGCUAUAAGAUGCUUAGACAAUACAACGUAUCUGUUCUUUGCAUUCCUUAUGCAAAAUGUGUUCUUAUUAUAAAAAGGAUUCUUUUUAAAAUCUCUUUUGCUAUUUUUUAGUAUUGGAGAUUUUGUUACUUUGAGUAAAUUAGAGUGUUCAAAGCAAACAGUUAAAGCAUUUUAUUGCGUUUGAAUACUACAGCAUGGAAUAACAAAAUUGAACAAGUCAGAAUUCUGUUCUUUUUUCUUAUUUUGGCUUAGUUACGAUUAAUAGGAGUAGCUUGGGGGCAUUUGUAUUCAGAUGUCAGAGGUGAAAUUCUUAGAUUUUCUGGAGACAAACAACUGCGAAAGCAUUUGCCUAAAAUACUUCCAUUAAUCAAGAACGAAAGUUAAGGGAGUGAAGACGAUCAGAUACCGUCGUAAUCUUAACCAUAAACUAUGCCGACUAGGUUUUGGAUGAAAGAUUUUUAAAUAAGAAAAUUCCUUUCGGGGAAAUUUCUUAGAUUGCUUCCUUCAGUACCUUAUGAGAAAUCAAAGUCUUUGGGUUCUGGGGCGAGUAUUCGCGCAAGCGAGAAAGUUAAAAGAAUUGACGGAAGGGCACCACCAGGCGUGGAGCUUGCGGCUUAAUUUGACUCAACACGGGGAAACUCACUAGUUUAAGACAAGAGUAGGAUUGACAGAUUAAUAGCUCUUUCUUGAUUUCUUGGAUGGUGAUGCAUGGCCGUUUUUAGUUCGUGAAUAUGAUUUGUCUGGUUAAUUCCGAUAACGAACGAGAUCUUAACCUGCUAAUUAGCGGCGAAUACGUCAUAUUCUUAUGCGAAAUUGAAUAUAGAUGAAUUUGCUUAUUUUGAAGAAUACACUAGGAUACAAUUAAUGUGUCCUUUUCCCUAUUCUUCUUAAUUCGCAAUUCAUGCUGUUUCUCUUUUGCAUUAGAAUGUAUUCGUUUGAUUGUAAAGCUUCUUAGAGGAACGAUGUGUGUCUAACACAAGGAAGUUUAAGGCAACAACAAG